Molecule: long non-coding RNA, 2022 nt
Organism: Anopheles coluzzii
Lineage: Eukaryota; Metazoa; Arthropoda; Insecta; Diptera; Culicidae
Exons: 2
Source: RefSeq, a predicted model, not a curated record
CUUUAAUUUUUUCAUUAAAUUUUAGUUAAAGUUUCUGUUAAUUUUGUUUUUAACAUAUGUGAUCUGAAUCGUAAUGAAAUAUCCAUCACUCAUCUUUUCCAAAUUCAGUUAGACCAUUUCGCUUUGCUUUGAAUUCUAAGUCAGAAUGUAUGGGGUGCGCGGUACGGGUUAGAAGAACAUAGGGGCGGGGGUACAAAUAAACGCAUCACAACACCAAAGUCUGGGUGAGACGGUGAUGGUGUGAAACGCUUCUUGCUUCAAGCUCUUGUGGUAACAGUGUUAAAAGCAACAACAACAACAGAGAAUAACGCAUCGCGUAGAAACAAACACACCGUUCGUGGGUAUGUCAGGGGGGGAAACAACGGGAAAAGCUCAAUUCUCUCUCAGCGAUGCCGCUUGGGUAUAGGGACUAGGUGGGCUUAUAGGUUUGGCGGGAACGCCAUAUUGGAGAAAAAUUUGACAGGAGGGGAUUCGAUUGCGAUACGUAUCUAUUCACUCACACUACGAAACACAAAUAGCAAGCUGUGAGUUUGUUUACUUUUGCAAAUGAAACGAUUGCAAAUAUUCCUGAGUUAAAAAUAUCAAAGAACUCCGUUGUGAUCGGGUUAAGUAUCGAAUAUUUCUUUUAAAAAGUGAAAAAGAACCAAAAGAGAUAAGGGGCAACGCAAUAUUAAAUUGUUUUCGUUUGUAUUUCCCAAAUUCCAGCAUUGUUUGUCGAGUCCAUACAGCGCUUUUUUACUGAUCUGGACAAUCUGGUACGGGUAUGAUUCAUGUUGCAGUACAAACAUUAAAAGAUUAUAAAGCUAAUAAGCCUCCUCAGUGCGAACCAUGUAUCUAAAGGUGCUGGAAACGAAAAGUUAUGCUCGUCAAGUAGCCAUGCCACUCAUAAAUAAGUUUUGCAACUAAUAGCAUGAUAGAUAUUUUUUUACCAUGAAGGUAUAAAUUUUUAUUCUUUACCAAAUCAUGACCUGCCAUCUCAAUAGAGGACAUGUAAACAAGGAGAAGAAAAAGGACAAAUAUGAAGUCAUUGUAAUCGACGCAAUGGAGGAAAACAAAGAAGUAUACCAUGGACCUAGGACACGGAAGUAAUUUUUAUCCAUCUACUUAAUCAUCGGAAUAUCCUGAAGAGUAAUAAUCCGGAAUAGGAAAGAGAGCGCUGUAAAGCCCCUAUCGUUUAAUUAUAACGUACAACAAAACACACCGGCAAGAAUAUCUUUAUAUAUGUGCAAAGGUCAUUAUGAACUGUACAUACUAACAUGAUGAACAACAUGAAUAGUAAAACGUGGUUAAUCGUACGAAAUCCCCAUAAAUAACCCUAUGUUGAUCAAGCGUUACAGUAAGUGUUGGCAGGUGCCAAUACCUUUAAGAUUGUUGCAAACAUACAUGAACAACUGAAGUUAAAGUGUGAAAGUCAUAAAGUCAUAGCGUGCAGCUCACAUUUGUUUAAAUUGCCACCAACUGAAAUCCAAAUAUGCUAGAUGAACAGGCUCCACGAAGGUAGUAAUCAUCCGUCUGCUUUCAAAAACUUUUUAUAGGACCGUGCGUGAAUAGGUUCUUAUUGUAUGUAUUUGUAAUGCAUUUUAAUAUUCAUUUUAAUCUUAACGAUAGUAUAGCCGUAUUAAUGCGCCAGAUUUAAAAAAUGUUUUUACAGUUUAUGAGUGUUUCCCGUUUCAGAAAUGUUAUUCAUGCAACUGCUGGUAAUGUUUAUCACUAUUAGUAAUUGUUUGUAUACGUUUCGUAUUGAUAUAUGUAACAUAUUCGACUAGUACGGUAUUGCAGCAAUAUAAAAUAACAAACUACAUAUCACGCUAAGAGAUUUAGAAAAUUAGAGACGCAAAAAUAGUUGUUUGUCUUGGAAGUCAUGAAUUACGUCAAUUUUAGCUGAAACAAUCUACUCAAACGUAACACGAUUUUUUACGCACUAGACUAUAUCAUAUUUUCCUAGCACUAAUUGAAAAUUCGAACGAUUAUUUUUAUGCUGAAUGCAAAUCGAUGAUGAAAAUACACAUAAUAUACAAAUUA